Molecule: transfer RNA, 75 nt
Filed under: Cuneopsis celtiformis
Lineage: Eukaryota; Metazoa; Mollusca; Bivalvia; Unionida; Unionidae
Description: tRNA-Asn
Source: RNAcentral
AGGAUAUAAAGCUUAUAAAAGCAACUAACUGUUAAUUAGAAGAUUGCGAAUUUUAUACCUUAUCGCUUAUCCUAC